AUGAAGGACCGGUCACUUGCCCUCCCCGCUCGGAGCCGCUGUUGCUGCCACCGCUGCCGCCGUCCCUGCCGCCGCCGCCGCCGCCGCCGGGCUCGUCGCGGCUCCGCCACAGGGGCAGGUGCGGAAGGCCUGCCGGUCCGGCCGCCGCCGUUUCCCCGCUCCGGCCCGGGGCUCCCCCUAGCGCCGCUGAGGAGCUGCCGUCGCGGCUCGAGGAGGGCGGAGGAGCGGCCCCGAGCGCCCGGAGCCUCGAGGGAGGAUAGAAGGACAAGGACAGAAUCACCAGCACUGGCUGAAGAUGCCCAGCCUACAGAGUCUGAGAAGGAAAUUUAUAACCAGGUGAAUGUAGUAUUGAAAGAUGCUGAAGGCAUCUUGGAGGAUUUACAGUCCUACAGAGGAGCUGGCCAUGAAAUACGAGAGGCAAUCCAACAUCCAGCAGAUGAAAAGUUGCAAGAGAAGGCCUGGGGUGCAGUUGUUCCAUUAGUAGGCAAGCUAAAGAAAUUUUAUGCGUUUUCUCAGAGGUUAGAAGCUGCAUUAAGAGGCCUUCUGGGAGCCUUGACCAGUACCCCAUAUUCACCCACCCAGCAUCUAGAGCGAGAGCAGGCUCUUGCUAAACAGUUCGCAGAAAUUCUUCACUUCACCCUCCGCUUUGAUGAACUCAAGAUGACAAAUCCUGCCAUACAGAAUGAUUUCAGCUACUGAAGAAGAACGUUGAGUCGAAUGAGGAUUAAUAAUGUGCCAGCAGAAGGAGAAAAUGAAGUGAAUAAUGAAUUGGCAAAUCGAAUGUCUUUAUUUUACGCUGAGGCAACCCCGAUGCUGAAAACCUUAAGUGACGCUACAACAAAGUUUGUAUCCGAGAAUAAAAAUUUACCAAUAGAAAAUACCACUGACUGUUUAAGCACCAUGGCUAGUGUAUGCAGAGUCAUGCUGGAAACGCCGGAGUACAGAAGCAGAUUUACCAAUGAAGAGACAGUGUCAUUCUGCUUGCGGGUAAUGGUGGGAGUCAUAAUCCUGUACGACCACGUACAUCCAGUGGGAGCAUUUGCCAAAACAUCCAAGAUUGAUAUGAAAGGUUGUAUCAAAGUUCUUAAGGACCAGCCUCCUAAUAGCGGAGAAGGUCUUCCAAAUGCUCUCAGGUACACGACAAAACAUUUGAAUGACGAGACUACCUCCAAGCAGAUCAAAUCCAUGCUGCAAUAACAGCUCUGGAGUAAGCACCUGCCGUAGCGAGAAGACAGUGUUCUGCAGUGACUGAGAAUGCACAGUUUUUUAGGGAUUGCAAUUACUA
Octodon degus (degu) is the source of this 1285-nucleotide RNA transcript. It is a transcript of the gene named protein FAM49B pseudogene, with no coding region annotated. Lineage: Eukaryota; Metazoa; Chordata; Mammalia; Rodentia; Octodontidae. The transcript is spliced from 2 exons. The record is from RefSeq and is a predicted model, not a curated record.